CAGCCACCCAAGUAUCAGGUCUAGGAUCUGGAAUCUCCUGAGAAGAGGUUGGUACAAGUCUCUCUCAGAUCUGGAGUUGAUCUGAGGUCGUUUGAGGUAUGGGUGAGAUCUCCAUCAACAGAUCUACAAGAAAGACUACAGCAUGAUAGAUCUGCAAGGUCUGUCUCCAUCUACCUUCUUCCCUAUCUAGAAUACCCUGAUUUGAGAUCUACAAAUUGAAAGACCUCAGUCCAGGU
RNAcentral lists this long non-coding RNA (236 nucleotides) under Elaeis guineensis (African oil palm). RNAcentral describes it as "long non-coding RNA (EGUI_LNC066621)". The record is from RNAcentral. Lineage: Eukaryota; Viridiplantae; Streptophyta; Magnoliopsida; Arecales; Arecaceae.